GACGAACGCUGGCGGCGUGCUUAACACAUGCAAGUCGAACGGAAAGGCCUGCUUUCCCUUGUGGAUUGCGGGUACUCGAGUGGCGAACGGGUGAGUAACACGUGAGUGAUCUGCCCCCAACUUGGGUAUAAGCCUGGGAAACUGGGUCUAAUUCCCGAUAGGACUGCAGGGUGGUGCCUGUGGUGGAAAACGAUUUUCUAGUGGUUGGGGAUGAGCUCGCGGCCUAUCAGCUUGUUGGUGGGGUAAUGGCCUACCAAGGCGGCGACGGGUAGCCGGCCUGAGAGGGUGGACGGCCACAUUGGGACUGAGAUACGGCCCAGACUCCUACGGGUGGCAGCAGUGGGGAAUAUUGCACAAUGGGCGGAAGCCUGAUGCAGCGACGCCGCGUGGGGGAUGACGGCCUUCGGGUUGUAAACUCCUUUCGACCGCGAGGAAGCCACCUGGUUGGAAGGGUGGUGACGGUAGUGGUAGAAGAAGCACCGGCUAACUACGUG
This 494-nucleotide ribosomal RNA is filed under the name uncultured bacterium. RNAcentral's name for it is "partial 16S ribosomal RNA". It matches the Rfam family "Bacterial small subunit ribosomal RNA", at positions 28 to 507 of the family's 1533-position model. The record is from RNAcentral.